Molecule: non-coding RNA, 72 nt
Organism: Gossypium arboreum
Lineage: Eukaryota; Viridiplantae; Streptophyta; Magnoliopsida; Malvales; Malvaceae
Source: Rfam
GUCCCUUUCGUCUAGUGGUUAAGACACUGCUCUUUCACGGCAGUAACAUGAGUUCAAUUCUCAUAGGGGACA